Molecule: long non-coding RNA, 241 nt
Filed under: Eucalyptus grandis
Lineage: Eukaryota; Viridiplantae; Streptophyta; Magnoliopsida; Myrtales; Myrtaceae
Description: long non-coding RNA (EGRA_LNC003399)
Source: RNAcentral
GGCCACAUGGUAGCUGCAAAUGUGAGGAACAAUUUUGAAGAUGAAGGACGGCAGCUCAUUGACGAAUGAACAAUUUUGAAGAUGAAGGACGGCAGCUCAUUGAUGAAUGAACAAUUUUGAAGAUGAAGGACGGCAGCUCAUUGACGAAUGAACAAUUUUGAAGAUGAAGGACGACAGCUCAUUGACUAAUGACAUAAGUAACAAAAACUGGGUCUUGAAACGCAAGCGAAGAAAGCUGCCA